UACAAGUUAGCAUAUUAGUGCGUUGAGCUUAGAAUUCAGAGAAGAAAAAAUUUUUCACUUGUAA
RNAcentral lists this transfer RNA (64 nucleotides) under Colpocephalum eucarenum. RNAcentral describes it as "tRNA-Leu". The record is from RNAcentral. Lineage: Eukaryota; Metazoa; Arthropoda; Insecta; Psocodea; Menoponidae.